Paramuricea clavata is the source of this 467-nucleotide non-coding RNA. The record is from the annotation of a GenBank genome assembly. NCBI's taxonomy places the organism in Eukaryota, Metazoa, Cnidaria, Anthozoa, Malacalcyonacea, Plexauridae.
GCCUUGACAAUUUUCCGACAAUUUCCGGCAGCAUUGGCAAUUUUACGACGGGUGUCAACAAUAGGGGAGGGCCAUGCCCCCCCCCCUGCCCCCCGGCCACGCGCCACUGAUGACAAUCACUAGACGUAUGACGUCAUUGACGUACGUCGACGAAUGUUUUCACGAUUUCAUGUUUGUCAACAGAGCCCCCCCCCCGGUAAAUUUAGUUCUACAGCACUGCUGCAAAGCCUUGCAAAGUCUCUAUUGCACUAUUCGUACUAUUCGUCGCCUAUUCGUGGACUAUUCGUACUAUUCGUCGACUAUUCGCGGCUAUUCGCACUAUUCGUCGACCAUUCGCGGACUAUUCGCACUAUUCGUCGACUAUUCGCGGACUAUUCGCACUAUUCGUCGACUAUUCGCGGACUAUUCGUACUAUUCGUCGACUAUUCGCACUAUUCGCACUAUUCGCUUCACUAUUCUAGUUUUAU